This is a long non-coding RNA of Herpailurus yagouaroundi (jaguarundi), 123 nucleotides long. RefSeq lists it as uncharacterized. Lineage: Eukaryota; Metazoa; Chordata; Mammalia; Carnivora; Felidae. The transcript is spliced from 3 exons. The record is from RefSeq and is a predicted model, not a curated record.
AAACUAAGGCGGAUAAAAAUAAAACAUAGCAGAAACUUGUUUGAAAAAUGAGGUAACAGAAGAGAAGGACUUAACAAAUACCAUCACCAGCAAAAGCACAGAGCACAGAAGGCUGUUUAAUCA